ACCUCUGGGACUCGCGGGGGGCGUCCUCAGAGGGGCGACUCCUACAAAUGAAGGCCAAGUCUGGGGAAAGUUUCUGGCGGUGUCAAGGGUCAGCUUUUUCUUGUAGGGACGUUCUCUAGCCAAGAGAUGGAAACUCCAGCGAUUUUGUCCGCGGGUUCUGCUGACAUCACAAACCACACAUCACUCCGUGUCAUCUUGUGUAGUUUGUACAAAGACUCUCCAUCAUUACUGCAGCCUUCUGCACGUUCGCCUUUCAAAGCCCCAGCAGGUACGAUCAUGUCAUAACAUUUGGAGGGUGAAGGGAGACGUGACUAUGGUUCAUUGUCUGAUUGAAAGAGCCGAGGUUCAGAAUCCUAGAGGGAUUUCCUGCUGUUAGACUUCUGGAUCCUGGCAGAGCUGAGACCAGACUCCAAACCUGCGGACUUCUCAUUCUGAGUACUUUCCACUGUGACAUGCUACCUCAAAGUGAGCCUGCUGGAAAAUCUACCAUUAAUCUUCGUGAAAAGAAAUUAAACUUUAAACCUUGCACACUAAAAAGAAAAAGCUGCUAAGGACAGAUGGAAUUUCUUCUCCUGGGCUCUAGUCCCUGUUUUCCGCACCAGCUGUGGACCUUCAUCCUGGCCACUAAGGGACUUGGCUUUGAUCAUAUUCCAAAGAUCUGGCAAUUAAUUAGCAUGAGCGAUAUUGUUAAGAAGUUACGCAAAGAAGUCAUAGUC
This 716-nucleotide long non-coding RNA is filed under the name Equus caballus (horse). Its description in RNAcentral is "lncRNA (ENSECAG00000034269.3)". Lineage: Eukaryota; Metazoa; Chordata; Mammalia; Perissodactyla; Equidae. The record is from RNAcentral.